RNAcentral lists this long non-coding RNA (5685 nucleotides) under Gallus gallus (chicken). The record is from RNAcentral. Lineage: Eukaryota; Metazoa; Chordata; Aves; Galliformes; Phasianidae.
AGGGACUGAAGAGCAGAAAUAAGUAGGCAUUUAGCAAGAGUUUUCUGCCUUGAAAUUUUUUAUUGUACGUUUUCCCUUCUCUGAGGACUGAAGAGCACUGUGUUGGGAUAGGCUUCUGCUGAUGUGGCACCAGAAUUUCCAAAUUUGUCAGCUAGAAGGUAUUGCUGCUACCUCCGCCUCCUUUUGUGUGCUGCAGCACUACAGACGUGGCAGCUCCCAGCGCGGCUUCCCAACGAUACAGUACGCAUGCUGUAUGUCCCUGGUGACGGUCAGGACAAGGGGGGAGUCAAUAAUUCCAAGUUAAGAGCCACGAAACACACACACACACACACACACACACACAGACAAAAAUCAGGGAGGAGGAAUGAAGAGUCUGCCAAAAAGAAAAUCAAAAAAAAAAAAAAAAAGAGAGAAAGUAAAAGAUUUUUCUUCUUCUUUAUUUUUUUUUCUUUCCAUAGGAAAAGUUUGGUAGCGGCACAGCCCGAUGCUCAGAGCCUGAGAACUGCCAGAUGCCAGAGUUUUGUUGUCUUUGUUACAGUUUCUCAGUAACACUAAAGAAAUGGCUGUUACGGUUUGACUAAAGCUUGCAAAUCAAGAAAUCUGUAGGGGAAAUCUUUCAGCCUCUUGCCUGCUCCCUCUGAAGGGGGAGAAGCUGGAGGCGGGAUGACUCACCCGUCCCUGGGACUUUUAAUUUUAAGAGUCUGGAGCUGCUGUGAGCGGGGCCAGGCUGUGGAACACCCGGAGCCUUGCAGGGUUUUAUGACCCCCUUCCACGUCAUCCUGCAGCUCUCAAAUCCCUGGAAGAAAUAUGCAGGCAGAGCAGGGGGGAAGGGAAUCCUCCACUUUUUGACCUGCAGGUUUUCUUGCACUCUGUUCAAGCGCUUGCAUCUUUAACCCAUAAGCAUACAUUUUGCCAACAUUCCUCCCAAGUGCAUGUCUACUUCCCAUUGGUUUCCCAAUGCAUUUCUAUAUCCUGCGGGCUUGUUUGGAAAACUAAGGGAGUUAGCAUUUUCCUUUUCGCCUUGGAAAAAGACAUUUUGCCUCUCUUUCUUUGUGCCUGUGCUUUAUGUGCUUGAGGGAUAAGUUCUGCCACCUCUGAGACUUCCCAUUCCUCGAUAUAAAAGUACCUAGGAGGUAAGAUCCAAAACUGGAGUGGCUUAAUAGUGUUUCUAAAUAGCACAAAGAAGCAUGAUAAAGCCAGAGGACACUUCUCUGUGCUGUACCUUCAAUACCCUAAUUUUGUUACCAAGCUAAGUGAAUAACUAGGAAUUUACAGCUAAGCAGAAAGGUGCUUGUUUUUCUUUCAGAAAAAAACGCAUGGAGAGGGAGCAAUAGUCUCCUCAGCUGUUAGAAAGAGCAGUUUUAAUGAACAGCAAAUGUCUAAACUUCCCUGCUGCUCCCCACCCUCCUGAAAAAGUUUCCCUGCUCCUUGCCACAACAUAAACACUGUAUGUGGCAUUAUUUUUUUUAGCCUAAUCCGAGUUGUUUCACAUAGCUGUGCAACAAAAGAGUGCAAAAAUCAUCUGGAAAACACAUGCAGGAUAGAGGCAGGGCUUCGAACCAUCUGUGCACGGUCAGAUUGAAAGAAUCUCAUGGAGCAGCUCUGCAAGGGGAAGCUGGCUUGUUUCACUUCGUGACGUGUCAGGAGGAUGCAAAUGAUAGACCAUACUGGGGCUGAGCACAAGGCCUGGGCAAAGCAUAAAAUAGCCUUUGCUAAACUGCCCCCUGGAUCUCGGAGCCCUAGAGAGUGAAGAAGUGGAUGCAGCUUUGGCCAUCAGUGAGGACAGCAGCUUGUGCCUUACUCCAUGGCUACCACAGCCCAUGUGAGCAUACAGAGCUCUCAGUUUUGUUCAGAAGCUGCAAUGGGGCCAACAGAUCAACUGUCAAACUAUUGCUUCCUCCUGCAAGCACCAUUAAAAAUGGAUCAUCUGGAGCUAAGAUGAUUUUCUUUGAGGCCAGGUGCAGAUGUAAUGAAAGAAUAAAUGCAGCCUACAAUAGCACUGGGAAAAGAGCUUUUGAGAAUCUUUUUUCUGUUGUGUUCUCCUCACAAAGGACACAAAACAAGUGAAAGAAGCCGAACUGGAAGAGGUGUGAAAGGUGAAACAAUAUGAGAGUCCUGAAAAGAUGGGAGGAAACUUUGACCACAUAGGACUGACUCCAGAUGCUCUUCCACACGCAUAAUAAUGGACUGCUCUCUUCCAUGAGUAACACAAUUGCAAUCAGUAAAGAUACUCAAAUGAGUAAAACAUGAAACAUUAAGCUCACAGGCGGAGAUGAGGUUGAUCUGUCAGUAGGGGCAGCAACGUGGGUGCUAGGUCUCUAUUUCAGGUAAAUGAAUGGUAGUCAGAUCUGCAGCAAAUUAUGGAUGCAAGAAAAAAUCUUUGUGUGACUAAAAAUGUGGAUCUGGAAUGGUGGAACCAAGAGGCUUCAUGAAAUGUGCAAGGCAAGAUGAACAUCAGCAUGCUGUGAUACUCUAUUCUGUAGAAAACACUGAGGAAUUGGGAACAGGAGAAAUUCAUUCCACACAAAAUCCUGGAGCAUUAUAAUACAGUGAUCACGAUAUAGGCAAGGAAAAGUCAGACUUGUUGUCAGCUCAUUCAUGCAUUCUGUGGAGUGCAUGAUUUAUGUUUACUGUCACUGCUGUGUACUUUUGUUUACCCAUGAGACACACAAAACAAACUUGGGACUGCAGCUGGAAAACAUUGCCGGAGGUACCUCUCCCAUGACAAAGAUCAUCGUGUGCAAACGGACAUUAAUUGUCAUUAUUCUGAUCAGAAUAAGUUAUCCAAAGAAUGAUUAGGAAUAUCUGGUUUCAAUUCUUUGAUAAAAUCUCCAAGAGCAGCAGUGAGCAUCAGCCCUGGAAUACAGUGGACAAAACUGCUAGGUUUUCCAGAUAUUGAAACAGGAGAACUUUCAGCCUGAGGUGGAUGUAAGGUCCUGGAAAAAACCAUAAGCCUUUCCCAGUUAGUUGCUGAUGUACCGGGAAUGCUCUUGAGGAUUGCUUUAUUCCGCAUUCCUUUUCCACUUCUUCCUCUCAUCUGACAUCUCUUUUGUUGCCCGUACAGGUGGAAUUCUCUGUGAAAUUCAUGUAUUUCUGUCAGCAUACCCAAAGGAGGCAGAGCAAACAAUAAAUAUAAAUGAUAGGCCCAGAAAGAUCAUUAACGUAAUACCCAUUUAUUCCCUAAUUCUUAGCGCUUUGACCUUUCCCUAAGGAAAUGGAAUACAUUCUGAGUAAGUAAAAAAAAACAUCUUGCAAACAGCUUCAUGUGAAGUCCCUUCCUGAUAUCAUCCCAACCUUUAUAAUCAGAUAUUGGUAAUCUUAUAAGCAAGUGAUUACAUGGAUUCCUUACAUUUGAAAGGAGUCACCCGGUUUUUCAGAGAUGUGUAAACUGCAAGCCAGUGUUGGCAGCCAUUCAUCUUUCAUUCUGUCACAGGGAACAAGAAAUAAAGAAGGGACUUUCUUGAGCAAAACGUCCAGCUUAAUGAAUAUAAUUUCCUUUUAUGACAAAGUUACCCAAAGGGAAGCCACUUGAUGUAAUCUUUUUCAAUUUCAGCAAAGCUCUCACAGUAUCCUUCCGCACAAAAUGUCCAGCACAUCUUGGCAAAAGCGUAAUGCGAUGGGUGAACAACUGGCUGACAAGGGUUAUAGAAAAUGGUACUACAUUUCUGUGUUUCAGUGGAGACAACAGGAACCUUCAAGGAGUCUUUGCUGAGACUAACUUUACUUAUCAGAGUAGGCAUUGAUGGGAAAGCUAUAUAAAUUAUUUUUUAAAAUAAUAUAUCUGAUAAGCUAUAACCUGGGUUUAACCAUGGGUUCUUUAAUGAAAUUUUGAGAGCUUUUUUUGUCCAAAAAAUCAGCCACUUAAUGCAAAGGAGGUGUACAAACAUAAAAAACAACAGAAACAUUAUGGGAGCUCCCCACAGUUGACCUUGAUGGAGUCAUCAGAGGAGCAUACAUCUGCAACCAGUGCUGGACCAAAGGAACAACUGAAAGUCAGACAGAACUGACAGAGAUGCCUCAGCAGGAAUGUGAGAACAGAUGUGCACACCAGUCCUUUUCCUGCUACAAAGAGCUAGCAGCUUAGGGCUUGCAGACCUCUGGAUUUCAAUCACAUGUCAAGUUCAACAGUCACCAGUGGAACUAUAUUCCUGACAAAUCUCUCUCUUUCCCCCUCAGGGCCCUGUACAUGUGCAUUCAUUCAGAUUUUUUUUUUUCUGUGAACUCCCAGUGCAGCAUAAUCCUUUCACACCCCUAGGGGCAUCUGUUUGUUUGAAACAAAACACCACCAGAGCCUGGUUUUUACUGUGGACUUCAGCACCUACUCUGAGGAAUAGUGUUCAACAGCUUGUAAGAGAAGGCCUCAUUUCUAAUAAGUUGUUUUCCCUACGGCUAUGUUCUCUCUUGAACUUUGAAGGAAGCCUUUCAUUUAGUUUCAAGUUAUACCUUCCUGCCUUGAUAAUAAAUACGCUUUGCUCUUUUGGAGAGGACCUGAUGUUGUUCUCACUAUACAAUACAUAUAAAAGAUGCCUUGGGAUAGUCUUGCUGGCCAAAACAAAAGGGAUGCCUCGUUCAGUGCACUGCAAAUGAGCAUGGCUAUGUGCUGAUUUUGGCUCGCUCAUUUCCUAUUCCACCCUAGCAUUUGUAAAUUAAACUCCUAUUUUCGGAUUUCCAUAGAUUGUUCCAAAGUUUAUGUGAUUCCUUUAAUUAUGGCAUGGAGUAGGGGCAACUGCAUUCCAAGAAACCAAUAAUUACCUGGAACAUGUUAUUACAGUGAGACGUGUGUAGAUCUGUAGCAUCUGUGAAACUCCAUGCAACAUAACUGAAGAAACGGCUGAAAAUGGAUCUGACACAGUUGCAAUAAAGAAGUCUCAAAAAACUACUGUCUUCUUUCAGUACCAUAAUUUGUGUCACAGAAUUACAGCUCAAGUGGAACUGCCAUUUGAACUGCCACUGGAACUGCCAUUUGAACAAAUCUCACUUUUUAGUGGUGAAAAAUAACCUGAAUCCAAUCAGAAUUGUUUUUUUCUAUUAAUGCAUGUAUCCUUGGCAGUGCUAUUGCUGACAAAAAGUCUGUUCUUUUUUCAGCAGAGAUAAUGCAAAAAACAAAUGAAAAACAAAAAACAGAAACAAAACAAAACAACCUGACAGCUCAGUGCAAGGCUUAGUUUCCAUUUCAGGGUCAUGUGGAGGGGGUGUUCUUCAGAUGUUCCUGAAAUAAAUGUCUAUUACACUAUAAUUUAUGUUAUGUUAUGUUUAUUAGGUCCUCCGUAAAGUUUUCUUCAUAAAAGGCUGCAUAGCAAGCCUCCAAUUCUUAAGGAAUUAGAAUGGAAAUGUCACUCUCAUUUAAAAUUUAGAAGAGUAAAAACACUGAAAAAACAGAGAGAAAGAAACAUCAAAUUUAUCCUGAGUUUACCCCAUUGUAGCUAAUUAGCACAAGAGUUUUUAGGGACAUUCCCAUUUCAUGCAAGACCGCCCAUGAUCCCUUAGCAGUCAGGCAUUUAUUGUAUAGCUGUGAAACCUGUGUAAAUCUUUAUAUUUUAAUCUACAGCAAAGCUUUAAGUUUUAAUCUGCAGCUUUCCCACUGUUAAUUUUACUCAGGGUCAUUCUUAAUGGUCAUAGUUCCUAAGAUUAAGAAAAUAGCUGACAUCUUCACACCAACAAAGCAAUGUGGUUGUUAAUUCUCCA